AGCAGCAGCCACGGGAAUACAGAGGGUGCGAGCGUUAAUCGGAUUUACUGGGCGUAAAGCGUGCGUAGGCGGCUUUUUAAGUCGGAUGUGAAAUCCCUGAGCUUAACUUAGGAAUUGCAUUCGAUACUGGGAAGCUAGAGUAUGGGAGAGGAUGGUAGAAUUCCAGGUGUAGCGGUGAAAUGUGUAGAGAUCUGGAGGAAUACCGAUGGCGAAGGCAGCCAUCUGGCCUAAUACUGACGCUGAGGUACGAAAGCAUGGGGAGCAAACAGGAUUAGAUACCCCCGUAGUCCCUGUCUCUUAUAC
This 303-nucleotide ribosomal RNA is filed under the name uncultured bacterium. RNAcentral's name for it is "partial 16S ribosomal RNA". It matches the Rfam family "Bacterial small subunit ribosomal RNA", at positions 507 to 807 of the family's 1533-position model. The record is from RNAcentral.